Non-coding RNA from Marmota flaviventris (yellow-bellied marmot), 755 nucleotides. NCBI's taxonomy places the organism in Eukaryota, Metazoa, Chordata, Mammalia, Rodentia, Sciuridae. The record is from RefSeq and is a predicted model, not a curated record.
UGCUUGGUUUGAGGUCAAAUUCUUUUUAUUCCCAGAGAAGACCUUCACCAGACCCUGCCCUUGAAAUUAGGAAUUGCCAUUCCUGUUUCUGAUUCCCGAUGCUCACUAAGCCUUUUUCAGAUAUGAUGCUUCUGCAUUAUGUCCUUCUCGAGGGAGUAUGAAUUUGGAGAGGGACAUCCCUGGGGAGUGUGAUUUCAGUGUCCUCAGGGAACUGGAUUCUGGAGGGGGUCAGAUGAAGGACGUGGAACCCUGAGGAGUUGGGACCUGGCAGACACACCUGGGAAGACAGCCAUCAGGCAGGAGAGGAACUGCCCUAGUCCCCUUGGGACUGUCACUCUCAUCUUCCAUGGAUACGUGGGUCGAGCACAGAAUGAGCUUGGAAAAAGUUGACUGAAGAAGGAGCUUCAAGGAUGGAAGAGAACACAGAGGUCCAGUUCUGGUCUACCAUGGGCUACAAGGAGAGUCCUGUCACUUGGGCAAAAUAUGCUGGUCAACUCCAUCAUCUGUAAAAUAGAAAAGGAAUCUCCCAUGAAGAGACACUUGGACCCAGAAAUAGGCGCCGAAAGAGAAAUUUCUUCCUUAAAAAAUAUUAACUGCUAUUUCCCUGGCAUCGACCAUGUGUUGGGCACAUUACAUAUGCUUCCUGUGUCUGAAUAUAUCCAUCCCAAAGCAUCUUUCUACUCUACCAUACUAUGUCAAUACCAGUGACUCUGAGAUCUCAGCUCCAGUCCACCCAGAGAAAGAGCGAGACAAAG